Molecule: ribosomal RNA, 448 nt
Filed under: uncultured bacterium
Lineage: Bacteria
Description: bacterial SSU rRNA
Rfam family: Bacterial small subunit ribosomal RNA
Source: RNAcentral
AACGAACGCUGGCGGCAUGCCUAACACAUGCAAGUCGAACGAGACCUUCGGGUCUAGUGGCGCACGGGUGCGUAACGCGUGGGAAUCUGCCCUUGGGUUCGGAAUAACAGUUAGAAAUGACUGCUAAUACCGGAUGAUGUCUUCGGACCAAAGAUUUAUCGCCCAAGGAUGAGCCCGCGUAAGAUUAGCUAGUUGGUGAGGUAAUGGCUCACCAAGGCGACGAUCUAGCUGGUCUGAGAGGAUGAUCAGCCACACUGGGACUGAGACACGGCCCAGACUCCUACGGGAGGCAGCAGUGGGGAAUAUUGGACAAUGGGCGAAAGCCUGAUCCAGCAAUGCCGCGUGAGUGAUGAAGGCCUUAGGGUUGUAAAGCUCUUUUACCAGGGAUGAUAAUGACAGUACCUGGAGAAUAAGCUCCGGCUAACUCCGUGCCAGCCGCCGCCGUAAG